This 411-nucleotide ribosomal RNA is filed under the name uncultured microorganism. Its description in RNAcentral is "bacterial SSU rRNA". It matches the Rfam family "Bacterial small subunit ribosomal RNA", at positions 9 to 416 of the family's 1533-position model. The record is from RNAcentral.
GAGUUUGAUCCUGGCUCAGAUUGAACGCUGGCGGCAUGCCUUACACAUGCAAGUCGAACGGCAGCAUGAUCUAGCUCGCUAGAUUGAUGGCGAGUGGCGAACGGGUGAGUAAUACAUCGGAACGUGCCCUGUAGUGGGGGAUAACUAGUCGAAAGAUUAGCUAAUAUCGCAUACGACCUGAGGGUGAAAGUGGGGGACCGCAAGGCCUCAUGCUAUAGGAGCGGCCGAUGUCUGAUUAGCUAGUUGGUGGGGUAAAGGCCCACCAAGGCGACGAUCAGUAGCUGGUCUGAGAGGACGAUCAGCCACACUGGGACUGAGACACGGCCCAGACUCCUACGGGAGGCAGCAGUGGGGAAUUUUGGACAAUGGGCGAAAGCCUGAUCCAGCAAUGCCGCGUGUGUGGAGAAGGCC